Molecule: ribosomal RNA, 491 nt
Filed under: uncultured bacterium
Lineage: Bacteria
Description: partial 16S ribosomal RNA
Rfam family: Bacterial small subunit ribosomal RNA
Source: RNAcentral
AUUGAACGCUGGCGGCAUGCUUUACACAUGCAAGUCGAACGGUAACAGGCCUUCGGGUGCUGACGAGUGGCGAACGGGUGAGUAAUGCAUCGGAACGUACCCAGAGGUGGGGGAUAACGCAGCGAAAGCUGUGCUAAUACCGCAUGUGAUCUGAGGAUGAAAGCGGGGGACCGAGCAGCAAUGUUGGCCUCGCGCCUUUGGAGCGGCCGAUGUCGGAUUAGCUAGUUGGUGGGGUAAAGGCCUACCAAGGCGACGAUCCGUAGCUGGUCUGAGAGGACGACCAGCCACACUGGGACUGAGACACGGCCCAGACUCCUACGGGAGGCAGCAGUGGGGAAUUUUGGACAAUGGGCGCAAGCCUGAUCCAGCAAUGCCGCGUGCGGGAAGAAGGCCUUCGGGUUGUAAACCGCUUUUGGCAGGAACGAAACGGUGUCCGCUAAUACCGGGCGCUAAUGACGGUACCUGCAGAAUAAGCACCGGCUAACUACGUG